This 253-nucleotide ribosomal RNA is filed under the name uncultured bacterium. RNAcentral's name for it is "partial 16S ribosomal RNA". It matches the Rfam family "Bacterial small subunit ribosomal RNA", at positions 524 to 776 of the family's 1533-position model. The record is from RNAcentral.
GACAGAGGGUGCAAACGUUGUUCGGAAUUACUGGGCGUAAAGCGCGUGUAGGCGGCUUGGUAAGUCCGGUGUGAAACCUUGGGGCUCAACCCCAAGCCUGCACUGGAUACUGCCUCGCUUGAGUCCGGGAGGGGAGAGCGGAAUUCCUAGUGUAGCGGUGAAAUGCGCAGAUAUUAGGAAGAACACCGGUGGCGAAGGCGGCUCUCUGGAACGGUACUGACGCUGAGACGCGAAAGCGUGGGGAGCGAACAGG